GUGCCAGCAGCCGCGGUAAUACGUAGGGUGCAAGCGUUAUCCGGAAUUAUUGGGCGUAAAGAGCUCGUAGGCGGUUUGUCGCGUCUGUCGUGAAAGUCCGGGGCUCAACUCCGGAUCUGCGGUGGGUACGGGCAGACUAGAGUGAUGUAGGGGAGACUGGAAUUCCUGGUGUAGCGGUGGAAUGCGCAGAUAUCAGGAGGAACACCGAUGGCGAAGGCAGGUCUCUGGGCAUUAACUGACGCUGAGGAGCGAAAGCAUGGGGAGCGAACAGGAUUAGAUACCCUGGUAGUCCAUGCCGUAAACGUUGGGCACUAGGUGUGGGGGACAUUCCACGUUUUCCGCGCCGUAGCUAACGCAUUAAGUGCCCCGCCUGGGGAGUACGGCCGCAAGGCUAAAACUCAAAGAAAUUGACGGGGGCCCGCACAAGCGGCGGAGCAUGCGGAUUAAUUCGAUGCAACGCGAAGAACCUUACCAAGGCUUGACAUGAACCGGAAAGGCGUAGAAAUACGUCCCCCACUUGUGGUCGGUUUACAGGUGGUGCAUGGUUGUCGUCAGCUCGUGUCGUGAGAUGUUGGGUUAAGUCCCGCAACGAGCGCAACCCUYGUUCUAUGUUGCCAGCACGUGAUGGUGGGGACUCAUAGGAGACUGCCGGGGUCAACUCGGAGGRAGGUGGGGAUGACGUCAAAUCAUCAUGCCCCUUAUGUCUUGGGCUUCACGCAUGCUACAAUGGCCGGUACAAAGGGUUGCGAUACUGUGAGGUGGAGCUAAUCCCAAAAAGCCGGUCUCAGUUCGGAUUGGGGUCUGCAACUCGACCCCAUGAAGUCGGAGUCGCUAGUAAUCGCAGAUCAGCAACGCUGCGGUGAAUACGUUCCCGGGCCUUGUACACACCGCCCGUC
Molecule: ribosomal RNA, 896 nt
Filed under: Arthrobacter sp. 12-344
Lineage: Bacteria; Bacillati; Actinomycetota; Actinomycetes; Micrococcales; Micrococcaceae
Description: bacterial SSU rRNA
Rfam family: Bacterial small subunit ribosomal RNA
Source: RNAcentral